Long non-coding RNA from Papaver somniferum (opium poppy), 438 nucleotides. RefSeq lists it as uncharacterized. The record is from RefSeq and is a predicted model, not a curated record. NCBI's taxonomy places the organism in Eukaryota, Viridiplantae, Streptophyta, Magnoliopsida, Ranunculales, Papaveraceae. The transcript has 3 exons.
GAAGAAACGAAAAGACAAUUCUGAAGAAUGUCGAGCGCAAACAAGUUUUACCAUAUGGGGAAAAACUUUGUGGACAAAGAUAAAUGAAGCAACAACAUGGCAACAAAAGUUGCUCCUAAUGCCACAUUAUGAUGAUGUCGAUUGGUCGAUGUCUGCUCCGCUUCAUCCAAAAAAGGACACUCCCCUUUCACCUGGAUUACCAUUUCCUAGGAUACCUUCGAUAAAAGAAAACAAUGGAGUUAUGGAUCCGAACUUGUUGGAAAUGUUGAAGUCUUUUUAAGUGGCGUAUAACACUACUACCGAGGAGCAAAGAAAUGUUCCCACCUAAGAAUGACUUGAAUUUGCUUAAAGACAUGAGAUUUUCGAUACAAAUAAUAUUAUAAUAGGUGGAAAACUUCCAAAUUUUAUUUUUUUGGUUCUAUAAUUCAAUUGAUGGUC